Molecule: unclassified non-coding RNA, 430 nt
Filed under: Hevea brasiliensis (rubber tree)
Lineage: Eukaryota; Viridiplantae; Streptophyta; Magnoliopsida; Malpighiales; Euphorbiaceae
Source: RNAcentral
GGCCAUAAGGCCCCCUGUCGCCUUGAUAACACUGCCUCAAGUAGCUCAUGAAGCUAAUAGAGGGUUUUUUUUUUAACACAUUUAAAUUAUAGCAUUCAAAUACUAUAUUAUUAUUUUUUUUACCGUUUCAUCUAAGAAGAAAAUUCUAAUAGACUUUGAAUUCAAGCACACCCAAGUUUAUCUAAAUUUUAUUUAGGGAUGAAUCAGAAUUAUUCACUUGUAUUUCUACUGAUGAUCAAGUCCAGUUCAAGCAUAAAAAAAUAAAGUACAGUUAUGUUCAAGUUAAGUUUUGGGCUUUUAAGUUUCUAAACUAAGUUUAAAUACUGCAUUUUAUCGAUUCAACUUGGCCCACUUACUGCCCAGGUGUAAAUUAAAACCAGUAGCGAAUGAAAAGAGGUCAACAACGCACCAGAAAAUAUUUUGAAACACA